CUGUUCACUAAGUUGUUGUAAAAAACACAAAGAAAAACCAUGUUCUAGACCCCAAGUUGAAGCAGUUCCCAAGAUACGCAGAGAUAAUGUAGACUAUGAAUAUCCUUCUGAAGACACAGUACCAAUGGAAAAACUGAAGCUGCUUGAUCCCUCCUGGAUACUUCCCACUUUAAGGACUGUUUGGACAGUCUGAAGAUAUUAAGAAGUGCCUAGAAAAUCCCAAUGUUAGAGCUAUAUUAGAAGAAUUAGACAAAUCAACACAACCUGAUAAGUUAAUUAGUAAAUAUAUGCAAGAACCUAUUUUUACUGAAUUUGUUGAUGCUUGUUUAGGA
Long non-coding RNA from Leptidea sinapis, 332 nucleotides. RefSeq lists it as uncharacterized. The transcript has 3 exons. NCBI's taxonomy places the organism in Eukaryota, Metazoa, Arthropoda, Insecta, Lepidoptera, Pieridae. The record is from RefSeq and is a predicted model, not a curated record.